Molecule: ribosomal RNA, 1102 nt
Filed under: Liposcelis bostrychophila
Lineage: Eukaryota; Metazoa; Arthropoda; Insecta; Psocodea; Liposcelididae
Description: 16S ribosomal RNA
Rfam family: Archaeal large subunit ribosomal RNA (bases 739-1053)
Source: RNAcentral
AUUUAUAUUAAUAUAGUUAAGCUAUUUCGUUUGAGCCCUAUGCUUUAAUUGUAGGUUAAAAAGACUAAGUGAUAUAGAGACUAAGUUAUUAAAAGAUAAUAAAAAUUUGUUGUAACUAGCGAGAAUAAGAAAAGUAUAUUUAAAAUUGAGAAAGAAAGAAGUUUAUUAAAUUUAAGUAAAUUUAUGUACCUUUGGUAUCAGGGUUUAUAGAUUUAUGAGUUUAGAAAAUUGAUCCCGAAAAGAGAUGAUUUAAUUUAAAUGAUUUAAUUGUGGAAAAAAUUUUGAAAAUUUUAAUUAGAAGUGAUAAGCUUAACGGAUGUCUUGGUCUGGUUCCUUAAUUUUGCUUGAGGCUAAUUUUCUUCAUGAAAUUUUAUAUCUAUAAAAGAUUAGUUUUAUAGAAUUCACUGAAUAUCAAAAGUGAAAUUUUGUAGUCUUUGUCUUAGAGAGGUUUAAAUUAAAAAUUUAAAAUUUUAAUAAAAAUUAUAGAAUUAUUAUUAUAAAGAAAUUUUAAAACUAUAACUCGACAAAAUUAUUAGAACCUGUUUAUCAAAAACAUGUCCCUCUUUACUAUAAAGGGUCUGCCCUGCUCACUGAGUAUUAAAGAGCCGCUUAAAGUGUUAAAGUAGCAUAAUCAAUUGUCCUCUUAUUAAGGUCUUGAAUGAACGGGAGGAUUACUAAUAAAUUUUUAAUCUUGAAAAAUAAAAACUUAAAUUUUGAUUAAAAAUGUUUAAAUUCCACAAGGGGACGAGAAGACCCUAGGAUCUUUACAACAGAUUAAGUGUGUUUAAUUGGGGAAAUUUGAAAAAUAAACUUUUCUACCUUUCAUCCACUUUGGGUGUUUUUUUAAGAUAAAAAUAAGUUAAAAUAAAAUUACCCUAGGGAUAACAGAGCUAUAACAAGUUAGGUGACCAAAGUUUAAUUUGUGAUUGCGACCUCGAUGUUGAAUUAAAGUUUAAAGCCCGGUAGCUCGGGCUUAAUUUUAGUCUGUUCGACUAUGUAACUUUACAUGAUUUGAGUUCAGACCGACGUAAGUCAGGUUAGUUUCUAUCUUUUUAAUUUUCCUCCAGGAGUACGAAAGGAGAAUGAGGGGUUAAUAAGAUUU